GCUUACGGCCAUAUCAGCCUGGGUACGCCCGAUCUCGUCUGAUCUCGGAAGCUAAGCGGUUCGGGCCUGGUUAGUACUUGGAUGGGAGACCGCCUGCGAAUACCAGGUGCUGUAAGCA
Molecule: ribosomal RNA, 118 nt
Filed under: Salmo salar (Atlantic salmon)
Lineage: Eukaryota; Metazoa; Chordata; Actinopteri; Salmoniformes; Salmonidae
Source: RNAcentral